UAAGACGUAUAGAGCCAGUGUUAUUUUUCGUGAUUUGGCGUAAAGGGUGCGUAGGCGGUAUGUUAAACAGAGAAGAGUGAGACAUGGGUCGAACUGUGGCAGCUUUUUCUGAAAUGGCAAACUAGAAUUUUUUGGAAGUAAGCGGUAUUUAUAGGGUACAGGUGAAAAGGGUAGAUCCUAUAGGAACCAUCAAUUGCGAAGGCGGCUUACUAUAAAGAAUCGACGCUGAGGCACGAAGGCAUGGGUAUCGAAUGGGAUUAGACACCCCAGUAGUCCAUGCGGACAACUAUGGGAAUUGGAUUUCAAGGAUCCGAGCUAGCGUGUGAAAUUCCCCGCCUGGGGAUGUACGAUCGCAAGGUUUAAACCCAAGGGAAUUGACGGGGGCUUAAUCAAGCGGUGGAACAUGUGGUUUAAUUCGAUACAACACGCAAAAUCUUACCAACGUUCCGAGAAGAAAAUAUAAGGGGGUGNGAAAACACAGCAAUAGGAAAAUAGUUUGAGAAAAGAAUUACUUCCUAAACCUUCGGCUUCAUAGGCGCUGCAUGGUNGUGGUUAGUCCGUGUCUUGAGAUGUACGGUUCGAUCCUAUAACGGACAAUACCCGUGUUUCUAAUUAAUAAAAUAGAAAAAUCACCACCUAAAGUUUGGAUGAAGGGCGAUUACCUCAAAUCUUCAUGGCCCGAUCAAACGUUGGGCUACACACGUGUUACAAUGGCCGUCACAAAGCGUGGCAAGAGUGCAAACUGGAGCAAAUCGUGAAUCGUGGUCGUAGUUCGAAUUAUUUUCUGGAACUCGAAAAUAUGAAGUUGAAAUCGCAAGUAAUCGGAGAUCAUGGAGCUUCGGUGAAUGCAACCUUAGGUCUUAUACACACCGCCCGUCACAUUNUGAAAGUCGAUCACAUGUUAAGCUCUAAUAAUUAUACGGUUUUAAAUUCCGUUAUAGUAUCAGGAGUGCGAGUGUGGUUGGUAAUUAGAGUG
This 976-nucleotide ribosomal RNA is filed under the name uncultured bacterium. Its description in RNAcentral is "partial 16S ribosomal RNA". It matches the Rfam family "Bacterial small subunit ribosomal RNA", at positions 521 to 1482 of the family's 1533-position model. The record is from RNAcentral.